AAGGACCUCAGGAGUCUCCUCUACACCUACUACCUCCCCAUAAAGCCUAAUGACUUUGAGGAUUUGUGAGCCAGGCCAGGUGUGGGAAAGGGACUUUCAAAGAGUCCUUGACCAUUUCUCUGCCUGCUUCUCGGACUCCCAGUUCAGAUUCCUGCUUGGCAAACUGAAGCUGAACUCAGACAACCAGACAGUGUACUGGAAAUACUUCCUUAACCAGUUUGAGACAGCAAACAGUGUUAGACAUGGGGGGAUAAGAAAUGUUUCCAGAGUUCCCAGCAGCCCCAGCACCUGUCAGUCAGUGAUGUUUUAGAACAGACCCAGGAAGUUGUCUCUGACCAUUUGUACACAAUCACAGAGGAGAUGCUGCACUUAGACCACAC
Long non-coding RNA from Esox lucius (northern pike), 380 nucleotides. RefSeq lists it as uncharacterized. The transcript is spliced from 3 exons. The record is from RefSeq and is a predicted model, not a curated record. NCBI's taxonomy places the organism in Eukaryota, Metazoa, Chordata, Actinopteri, Esociformes, Esocidae.